CAGGGCUUGUGGGGAGUUGGCUGCCCAGAAAUCUGAGAGAAAAUAAGACAUGUAAAGUCCUGCUCACCCAUGAAAGUUUCUAAAUACAGGAGCUCUGAUUCUAAAAUCAUCUCCAUUUAUAUUGGUUUAUCUUUUUAAGACACUUUGUUGUUUCAGAGCUACCUUGCCAUGAAGAUUCAUUACCUUUUCUUUGCUCUUUUCUUCCUUGGCCAGCUGUCUACCUCAGGAACUGAAGAUGCUUAUGAAGUCAUUAGUAUCAUGGACUGUAAAAAUCAAACACUGUGUAAUUCUCAGAAUACAACUAGACACUGCUCUCAUGGGAAGGAGAUUGAACUAUGUGUCUUGCGUCUUGGAAAAAAUGCAAAGCGACUCACUAACCAUGAAGAAACAGCAAAUUAGGAAGACAGGAUGAUCAAUUUCCUUGUCUUAUUAAAAAAUAAAGUCUGCUUUCUUUUCUCUCUCC
Molecule: long non-coding RNA, 463 nt
Filed under: Homo sapiens (human)
Lineage: Eukaryota; Metazoa; Chordata; Mammalia; Primates; Hominidae
Description: non-protein coding lnc-LSMEM1-2:4
Source: RNAcentral